UGUUGAGCUUGACUCUAGUC
RNAcentral lists this non-coding RNA (20 nucleotides) under Arabidopsis thaliana (thale cress). Lineage: Eukaryota; Viridiplantae; Streptophyta; Magnoliopsida; Brassicales; Brassicaceae. The record is from RNAcentral. RNAcentral also lists the same sequence under 1 other name.